UGGGGAAUAUUGCACAAUGGGGGAAACCCUGAUGCAGCGACGCCGCGUGAACGAAGAAGGUAUUCGUAUCGUGAAGUUCUGUCCUAUGGGAAGAUAAUGACAGUACCAUAGAAGAAAGCUCCGGCUAAAUACGUGCCAGCAGCCGCGGUAAUACGUAUGGAGCGAGCGUUGUCCGGAAUUAUUGGGCGUAAAGGGUACGCAGGCGGUUUAAUAAGUCGAAUGUUAAAGAUCGGGGCUCAACCCCGUAAAGCAUUGGAAACUGAUAAACUUGAGUAGUGGAGAGGAAAGUGGAAUUCCUAGUGUAGUGGUGAAAUACGUAGAUAUUAGGAGGAAUACCAGUAGCGAAGGCGACUUUCUGGACACAAACUGACGCUGAGGUACGAAAGCGUGGGGAGCAAACAGG
RNAcentral lists this ribosomal RNA (403 nucleotides) under bacterium. RNAcentral's name for it is "partial 16S ribosomal RNA". It matches the Rfam family "Bacterial small subunit ribosomal RNA", at positions 355 to 776 of the family's 1533-position model. The record is from RNAcentral.